CCUACGGGAGGCAGCAGUGAGGAAUAUUGGUCAAUGGGCGCUAGCCUGAACCAGCCAAGUAGCGUGAAGGAUGAAUGCCCUAUGGGUUGUAAACUUCUUUUAUAUGGGAAUAAAGUGCAGUAUGUAUACUGCUUUGCAUGUACCUUAUGAAUAAGGCUCGGCUAACUCCGUGCCAGCAGCCGCGGUAAUACGGAGGAUCCGAGCGUUAUCCGGAUUUAUUGGGUUUAAAGGGAGCGUAGGCGGGUUGUUAAGUCAGUUGUGAAAGUUUGCGGCUCAACCGUAAAAUUGCAGUUGAUACUGGCAGCCUUGAGUACAGUAGAGGUAGGCGGAAUUCGUGGUGUAGCGGUGAAAUGCUUAGAUAUCACGAAGAACUCCGAUUGCGAAGGCAGCCUGCUGGACUGUAACUGACGCUGAUGCUCGAAAGUGUGGGUAUCAAACAGGAUUAGAUACCCUUGUAGUC
Molecule: ribosomal RNA, 460 nt
Filed under: uncultured bacterium
Lineage: Bacteria
Description: partial 16S ribosomal RNA
Rfam family: Bacterial small subunit ribosomal RNA
Source: RNAcentral